AACGAACGCUGGCGGCAUGCCUAACACAUGCAAGUCGAACGAGAUCUUCGGAUCUAGUGGCGCACGGGUGUGUAACGCGUGGGAAUCUACCCUUGGGUUCGGAAUAACAGUUGGAAACGACUGCUAAUACCGGAUGAUGACGUAAGUCCAAAGAUUUAUCGCCCAAGGAUGAGCCCGCGUAGGAUUAGCUAGUUGGUGAG
Molecule: ribosomal RNA, 200 nt
Filed under: uncultured bacterium
Lineage: Bacteria
Description: partial 16S ribosomal RNA
Rfam family: Bacterial small subunit ribosomal RNA
Source: RNAcentral